Pelobates cultripes (western spadefoot toad) is the source of this 365-nucleotide non-coding RNA. The record is from the annotation of a GenBank genome assembly. NCBI's taxonomy places the organism in Eukaryota, Metazoa, Chordata, Amphibia, Anura, Pelobatidae.
CUCUAAACGUGAAGAAGAAAUCCCCCCAAUAACGAGACAGAAGCUCCGCAUUGAGGGUCAAACAGGAUCUGGCUUUACUGUGGGCUACCUGCGAAUGACUCCAUGGGAAGGCUAUCUGGGUUAAGUCCUUUCGUAUGCUUCAAACCUCCCAAACGGCCGGUAUUCGUAUGCUUUCGUGGAGGCAGCCAGGCGCUCCGUUGUUUCAGCGGUGUUCGGCAGAAAAACUGUCCGUUUUUAGUUCCAUAGAAAUAGAGCCAAACACCGCUGGGCUUUCGCGUGGUUUAAAAUGGCCGCUGCCUCGUGGUCGACAUAUGAACGACGACCACCCUGAAUUCGGUUUAAUUGAGAAGUGUCUGCGGUUAACC